UGCGUACUGGGCGAACGUUAUUCGGAAUCACUGGGCUUAAAGGGUGCGUAGGCGGCCUUCCAGGUCCGGUGUGAAAUCUCUCGGCUCAACCGAGAAAUGGCGCUGGAAACCGGAAGGCUUGAGUGUGCUAGGGGUGUGUGGAACUUCCAGUGGAGCGGUGAAAUGUGUUGAUAUUGGAAGGAACGCCGGUGGCGAAAGCGACACACUGGGGCACAACUGACGCUGAGGCACGAAAGCUAGGGUAGCGAACGGG
Molecule: ribosomal RNA, 253 nt
Filed under: uncultured bacterium
Lineage: Bacteria
Description: partial 16S ribosomal RNA
Rfam family: Bacterial small subunit ribosomal RNA
Source: RNAcentral